RNAcentral lists this small RNA (82 nucleotides) under Flavobacterium swingsii. Its description in RNAcentral is "Flavo-1 RNA". It matches the Rfam family "Flavo-1 RNA". Lineage: Bacteria; Pseudomonadati; Bacteroidota; Flavobacteriia; Flavobacteriales; Flavobacteriaceae. The record is from RNAcentral.
CCAUAGCCCUGAUUGAAACGAAAAUCCUUUUCUUUUUUUUCUUUAGAAAAAGAAAAGAUUGAAGUAAAAAGCAGGAAAUGGC